Molecule: ribosomal RNA, 468 nt
Filed under: uncultured bacterium
Lineage: Bacteria
Description: partial 16S ribosomal RNA
Rfam family: Bacterial small subunit ribosomal RNA
Source: RNAcentral
GACGAACGCUGGCGGCGUGCUUAACACAUGCAAGUCGAACGGAAAGGCCCUGCUUUUGUGGUGUGCUCGAGUGGCGAACGGGUGAGUAACACGUGAGUAACCUGCCCUUGACUUUGGGAUAACUUCAGGAAACUGGGGCUAAUACCGGAUAGGUGCUCCUGCUGCAUGGUGGGGGUUGGAAAGUUUCGGCGGUUGGGGAUGGACUCGCGGCUUAUCAGCUUGUUGGUUGGGUAGUGGCUUACCAAGGCUUUGACGGGUAGCCGGCCUGAGAGGGUGACCGGCCACAUUGGGACUGAGAUACGGCCCAGACUCCUACGGGAGGCAGCAGUGGGGAAUAUUGCACAAUGGGCGGAAGCCUGAUGCAGCAACGCCGCGUGCGGGAUGACGGCCUUCGGGUUGUAAACCGCUUUCGCCUGUGACGAAGAGUGAGUGACGGUAAUGGGUAAAGAAGCACCGGCUAACUACGUG